GUUGCAUCAGUGUUCAGUACACAGUCGUCUGCGAACUAUCAAACAGUCUUAAUAUUUCGUUGAAAAUUAUCAUAAAUAAAAAAAAAAUUCGUUGACUCAACCUGAAUCAAGGAUUUAAGCAAAAAAAUCUAUUUUACACAAGGUUUAAAAAUAUUAUCCAUAUAUGUUUUGAAAGCAAUCGUCAAGUAAAAAUGGCUAAAAAUUACGUUCCUGCUUUUGAAACUAUCAUUGGAGCAGUUCCAAAUGAAGAAGUACCCUCAUCAACAAUAAUGGGUAGAUGGACAGCAUCCGUACCAUAUUCAGAUGGUGCAGAAAAGCUCUAUUUCCAAAUAAAGAAGGAGAAGAUUUAUCAAUAAUACCUGUGAAUACCUGGUAGAUGGAGACAUUUCUUACCAUAUUUAAAAGGUGGAGAUAAUAAAGUCAAAGAAUUUUUUUUAAUAACGGCCAAUAUGACGAACAUUACUGUUCCGUCAUUGUGAAAACUCGUAGUAUUGUUUUGAAGAGCUAUAAAAGAUGCAGAACUGGAGAAAAUCGACUUAUUAAUUAGCUUUUUAAAUAUUAUUUGUCGAAUAA
This is a long non-coding RNA of Aphidius gifuensis, 573 nucleotides long. RefSeq lists it as uncharacterized. The record is from RefSeq and is a predicted model, not a curated record. NCBI's taxonomy places the organism in Eukaryota, Metazoa, Arthropoda, Insecta, Hymenoptera, Braconidae. The transcript is spliced from 3 exons.